AGUCCUCCUUAAUGAUGAAUGCCAACCGCUGUAAAACUAGAAGAAGACGCCAGUGAAGCCGGAAAUGUCAACCGACUGACUGCUAACCCAAAUGUUUGCAUGAACUAAUAUCUCCACGUCGUGACCCACGAUGGAGUGCUAAUACUAAGGACGUAGACUUAAUCCAGCAUCGUGACAGAGUAAACAGCGAAUAUGACAAAUGGUAGGUUUGCUGUCUUUUAGUUCAACGGCAGGACGUUGGAAGUUACUAUGAAGCUAGCUUAGCUGUAGACGUGGCUCCGGGCAGCGCUGUUAGAAACACUUUAACAAAUGAGUCCCUAACUUCUUUGACAUUAAUACAGAUUUGGUGCUAAAUUUUCUGUCUUUCUUUAAAGAAAUUGUCAUCAAAACUUUUGGGCUCUUUAGGAUUAUGUCGGGCUAAGAAAUUUCAUGCUAACUAGCUUUGAUGAACCUCAGUUAUUACUUGCUAAUGCUCGAAGUAUUAAACAGCUUAAUAUCAGAUAUAAGGGGAAAAACUCGUGAUUAUGUGAGGUUUAUUUCUAAGAAUUUAAUUCUAUGAGCAUUUCUCUAUCGCUGUGAAUUAUUGUUUCUUCAGGCAACAUAGGGCAAACCGUCUUCACAGAGUAAAUACUACAGACUGAUCCCGUAUCCUCUCUAUGGAAAAAGUGAAAUUCUCUACAGGCAAAAGCGUAUUUGUUGCAGUCACACCCUCGUUGAUUUGUGCAGACACUGUUAUAUACAUUUAAAACUGUUAUUCACGUCUGUGUCACUGAGCUUGCUUUCUGAGUACAGAUCAGGAGCAUGUCAGUGGUUUGCAGGAUGUGCAGAUUAUUGGCUGCACCUUAACAAAUAUACUUAUGUGUGUGGCACUGAGAGAAAUAACCCAUGCUGUUUUCUUUUGAUAUUUGCUCCAUUAACUAAUGUAAGUGGGGGUGCACUUGUUUACAUAGUUUGCCCCUUUGUCGUUUCUUCUUACCUAAACUCUUCAAAGUCGCGGAUUAAAAUUGACUUGCAAGAACCUGGUAACUCCACACUCAGUGACCUUUUUGAAGUAUUGAUCUGAUUGGCAAUCUGGGCAGACUUAAUUUUUCUUUCACUUGACAUGUUGUCAUUUCUUUUUUUUUUUUUUACAGUGUACUCUUUCGAUGGCAUCCUGGUGUUUGGGCUGCUGUUCAUCUGCACUUGUGCAUACCUCAAAAAAGUCCCUCGCCUCAACAGCUGGCUGCUGUCAGAGAAGAAAGGAGUGUGGGGCGUCUUCUACAAAGGUAGAGCUACACAUAGAUAGAUAGAUAGAUAGAUAGAUAGAUAGAUAGACAGACAGCUGGGAAAUUCACAUGUUACAGCAGCAAAAAAUGACAAAAUAAAAUUUAAUAUAAGAAGAAGUAAGUACUGAUAUACUAAACAUCCUAAGAGAAAAGAGAAAAAAGUGAGAUAUGAAGAACGUGGGCUAUUGAAAUGAGUAAUAAAUUUGAAAAGAGUAAUAAAUAUGAAAUGCAAAAUAUACAGAUGGGAUGAUAAAUCAACAGACAAAUUAAGGUGCUCAGUAAUGUGAUGUGGUAGGAGUUUUAAAAAUGGACUAUACAGCAGACAGAUGUGAGUCCCUGUCUGACAGAUGUGAGUUAUUAAACAGUGCUAAACUACAUCGUAGAAAACAUACUUAUGCACCUGCUGAGGAAAACUAAGCUUUACAAUCAUCGUCAGUGAUAUCAGCUUGAGGCAAAUGGAGAUUUUACAUCAUAAACAACCACACUGUACAACCUUGUUUUAUCUUUUGUCAUAUCUUUGAACCAAGUCAUUGUCAUGAUGACAGUAUAAUAUUGCAGCACAAGUAUUUUUAAAACAAAUUUUCAACAGUCCAAUUUUUAAAUGUAGUUUUGUGAAGAAAAAAAACAUGCACAACUAAAUAAAGUUAAUAUAAAGAGAGUAUUAUGUAAUUAACACAAUAAUAAAUGUCAUCCGUUGCUCUCAAAGAUCAGUGGGUCCUAUAAAUAACUAUCUUUUUGACAUGUCGUAUUAGUUCUGCAGUGGAUCACAAGUUUCAUGCUUUGGAUCAGAACAGUAUUUUUACCCACAACUAGGUACAAAACAGUGCAGAACUCAUUCUGUGAUUAACAAACUUGCUUAUUACAGUUAAGGUUGUCCUAUGUGGAGGUGAUACACACAAAAACUUACAACUGAGAGUCAGACACUAAAUCUCAGUCAUUGUGUCCUUUGUAAUGUCAAUAAAUGCAGGAUAGUCCGCACUGUCUCAUGGUCAAGUCUCAUGUUUACAUUGUUUGCUUUGCUCUUCGUGAUCUUCAUGUGUUUUUAUGACCUGUAAUUUUCUUAAUUCAUCAUCAAACUUAUCGUUCCUUUUUUCCAGCUGCGAUAAUUGGGACACGACUUCACUUUGCUGUGGCGAUGUCCUGUUUGGCCAUGGCUUUCUAUAUCGUCUUUUUAAAAUGAUUGAGUGAGACUGGACUGGAGAAGGGUGGAUGGCUGCUGGCUGGGGAUGGACUCAUCUCUGGUCAUGUCUCAGUCCUUGUUGUGGGACACCUUCUGGAUUUCAUGGCUGAUGAAACCUCCAAGUCCUCAUAUGGUGGACCCAUGUGAAAGACAUGUCAGUGCUGCCCCCCUCUGGUGACUGGGUACAUAACUCCUCUCUUAGUGAUGUGUGUGCACUACAGACAUGAAGGGCAUCCUGAGUAUACCCCACAGGGAGUCUGCAGGAUCACAUGAUAUCAUUGUGUUGUACUGUAACAUUGUUUGUUGUCUCCAUCCACAAACCAUGGAUAUUUAUAGUGAAGGAUGCAGAUGAAAGAGCAGUGUGUGCACAACAAAUCCAACCUGUAUACAACCUGACACUAGCCUAGCUGUAUAUAAAUGAAAGAUGACCAAUAGAGAUUUCACAGUGGAUCAAACUGAAACUGAGAAUUUCCGCUUGCUCCCAACUGUGCUGUUUUUUUCCUUGUAUCACUUAUUCUGUCAAAGGUGGAGGGGAAGAUAAACAAAGCUAAUAUAUGAAGAUAUUCUUGUGUACUUCUUUUUUCCCCUUUGCAUGUACUUUUAACAGCUUUUUUUGCAUUGUUUUAGGUUUGAUGUAGACAUUUUGCACAGGUUUAUGCCAUAUUUUCUUUGAUAUCUAAUUCAUGGUAUCAUAUUUUAUACAUCAAAAGUUGUUACAGAUUGGACUGAAAAUUAUUUAGGAGUGAAAGUCUCAACUGUUGAGAACAAUUUAUAACAUGGAUAGCUGUAUCCAACUUGACAGAACGAUUUAAAUGCCAUGCAAAAUGCUUCCUGUGUCAUCUCAAUUACAUUCUGUAUUUUUUUGUUUCAAUUCUGCCACCUUUUUAUUUUAAAAGAAGACAGUGAUUUGGGGCAGGGAUGCAAUGCAAUUUAAAGUAAAAGAUUAAACUGAAGAUUUCUGUGUUUUUGUCUGUAACACAAAGCCAUUUACAAAGUGAUAUUUGUAGCCCAAUAUUGCACAUACACGAUAUCAGAGUUUUUGUACUUACAGUGGCAUACGAUCCUAAUUCAGUGGGUGGUCUUUUUUGGCAGUAUUUAACAUAAUGUUAAAGAAGCCAUUCAAAAUGAGGCACAUGUGUAAGUUAAAUUUGCCUUUCUGUCUUCAAUUUAAUAUCUUGUAAUGGGUUUUGAAUGUUGCUGAUAAACCACAGAGAAGUCCAACUGUAUAGGACUACCCACCGUGCAUCACAGUUGGCUCAACGAAUUUCUUUGUGCAAUAUUUGACUUUCAUUAAACAAAGCUUCCAGACUAGAGACCAAGAACUUUUCCAUAGUUCCACAAAGUCAUAUAAAAGUACCUCUGAUACUUUUUACACUCUGUACAAACAGUCAAGUAUCAUCCAAGUUCAACCAUGUUAAACUUGGCAACGACUUGCAUUCAGUAACACCUAGGUCACCUUAUAAACCCAAUGAACCCUGUACCUUCUUAGCACCUGUUAUAAGCCUCUUGGUGCUCUGUUCUUCUAAUAGCCUUGUCACAAGCACUUUUUCUUUAUAAAGACAUCCUGAUCUGCACUGGCGUGUUGUAAUCUGCCAUAUAUUUAGUUUUAAAACCUACCAUACUGUACUUUAUUUCCUUAGUUUAUGGUACUGUAUUGUGGGUAUCGCUACACUGGUACAGUUUACAGGAGACAACUGGCUUGCUGCUGAAGGAAAAGCACAGAUGUUAUAGACAAGACUAUGUCUGUGUGUGCACAAUAUCAAUAUAUCAAACAUAGAAGAACAUGAAUCCAGUAUUUACUAUUGUCACUUGUGUCUACACUGUACAUACCUGUAUACACAGUACUGCCAGUAUGUGUCCUUUUUCAUGUUUUUCCCCCCUAUAGCUUCGUAAAAUCUCCCAAUUGGAUAUAGUGGCAUUUCUUCACAAUGGAAAUUUUCUGUUUGCUAAUUGGGCAGCUCGCGGUAAGAUUGCUAAAAAUGAAAAAAAAAAAAAAAAAAAAAGCUAAUUAAAUAGAUUGAGAAAAGACGAGAAAAAAGAUUGACCACUAAUCCCUGUGUAGUCGGUUGUUGUAUAAAGCAUUUAUUUUAAAUGAUGUAAACAUCUACUUUACUGUUCAAUAUCAUAAGUCAGUAGGUCAGUUGCUUGGAAAUGGUAAAAGAAAUUGAUCAUGUGACCAAAUAUUUAGGAGAUGGGCAUCAAUUCAUGGAGUCUGUGAAGGUUAGAAGCACAUGGGUGAAGGGGUUAGACAUUUAUUUCCAAAAAAAACAUUUUUAACUCUUAAAAGUGAAUUUAGUCUGUCAUACAUUUUAUUAGAAUUGUGUUCAGACCAAAAAAGAUCAUUUUAAAUUUGUUUUAUACAUCAAUUGUGGUAUCUAUGAACUACAACAUGAGGUCAAAAACCUAUCAUAAAAGUCCAUUUUACCUUAGAGGAUUAAUAAAGUCAUCAUAGUAGUUCUGGGGUAAGUUGAGCCAGUGGCUCAACUGAGAAAGUAAAGGAGUCUGAUGAGAGGAUCAGAGUUUCAGUUCAGAUUGUUGAAGUGUGUUACUUUUUCUAUUAAAAAAUACAGCUGUGAAUGUUCUGAAUCACUUGAAAUCCUCAUGAUUAAAUGGCUUUUUACAAAACA
This 5072-nucleotide long non-coding RNA is filed under the name Xyrichtys novacula (pearly razorfish). Lineage: Eukaryota; Metazoa; Chordata; Actinopteri; Labriformes; Labridae. The record is from RNAcentral.